GACGAACGCUGGCGGCGUGCUUAACACAUGCAAGUCGAACGGAAAGGCCCUGCUUUUGUGGGGUGCUCGAGUGGCGAACGGGUGAGUAACACGUGAGUAACCUGCCCUUGACUUCGGGAUAACUUCAGGAAACUGGGGCUAAUACCGGAUAGGAGCUCCUGCUGCAUGGUGGGGGUUGGAAAGUUUCGGCGGUUGGGGAUGGACUCGCGGCUUAUCAGUUUGUUGGUGGGGUAGUGGCUUACCAAGGCUUUGACGGGUAGCCGGCCUGAGAGGGUGACCGGCCACAUUGGGACUGAGAUGCGGCCCAGACUCCUACGGGAGGCAGCAGUGGGGAAUAUUGCACAAUGGGCGGAAGCCUGAUGCAGCAACGCCGCGUGCGGGAUGACGGCCUUCGGGUUGUAAACCGCUUUCGCCUGUGACGAAGCGUGAGUGACGGUAAUGGGUAAAGAAGCACCGGCUAACUACGUG
Molecule: ribosomal RNA, 468 nt
Filed under: uncultured bacterium
Lineage: Bacteria
Description: partial 16S ribosomal RNA
Rfam family: Bacterial small subunit ribosomal RNA
Source: RNAcentral